GGAAUAUUGGACAAUGGGGGCAACCCUGAUCCCGCCAUGCCGCGUGCGUGAAGAAGGCCUUAGGGUUGUAAAGCGCUUUCGACGGGGAAGAUGAUGACGGUACCCGUAGAAGAAGCCCCGGCUAACUCCGUGCCAGCAGCCGCGGUAAUACGGAGGGGGCUAGCGUUGUUCGGAAUUACUGGGCGUAAAGGGCGCGUAGGCGGACCAUCAAGUCAGGGGUGAAAGGCCUGGGCUCAACCCGGGAACUGCCUUUGAAACUGAAGGUCUAGAGUCCGAGAGAGGAUAGCGGAAUUCCCAGUGUAGAGGUGAAAUUCGUAGAUAUUGGGAAGAACACCAGUGGCGAAGGCGACUCGCUGGACAGGUAUUGACGCUGAGGUGCGAAAGCGUGGGGAGCAAAC
This 398-nucleotide ribosomal RNA is filed under the name uncultured bacterium. RNAcentral describes it as "bacterial SSU rRNA". It matches the Rfam family "Bacterial small subunit ribosomal RNA", at positions 358 to 773 of the family's 1533-position model. The record is from RNAcentral.